GAUACCUAGUGUGAAUUGCAGAAUUCCGCGAAUCAUCGAGUUUUUGAACGCAUAUUGCGCCCGAGGCUCACGCCGAGGGCACGUCUGCCUGAGCGUCA
This 98-nucleotide ribosomal RNA is filed under the name Ricciocarpos natans. Its description in RNAcentral is "partial 5.8S ribosomal RNA". It matches the Rfam family "5.8S ribosomal RNA", at positions 57 to 154 of the family's 154-position model. Rfam says of the family: 5.8S ribosomal RNA (5.8S rRNA) is a component of the large subunit of the eukaryotic ribosome. The record is from RNAcentral. Lineage: Eukaryota; Viridiplantae; Streptophyta; Marchantiopsida; Marchantiales; Ricciaceae.